Oncorhynchus tshawytscha (Chinook salmon) is the source of this 1448-nucleotide long non-coding RNA. The record is from Ensembl. Lineage: Eukaryota; Metazoa; Chordata; Actinopteri; Salmoniformes; Salmonidae.
UGACUGUUUUAUAAGUAGGUUUUAUUAGAGAUUUGUCAACUUUAAUAAAUCGCUCAACAUGUUUUUUCCGUAAUAGCUACCGUGAUGAAACAGAUACAAAUGGUGCAUGAUUAAAUCUUUAAUGUCCUCCACGACCUGCUUUUCCUCCGUGGUCACCUCCUUUUCCUUUAUGGUCGCCUCCAUGAUCUCCUCCAUGCUCGCCUCCUUUUCCUUUAUGCUCGCCUCCUUUUCCUUUAUGCUCGCCUCCAUGAUCUCCUCCAUGCUCGCCGGAUUUUCCAUGCCCAUGGCCGUGUCCCCCUUUUCCACCUUUUCCCUUCUUCCCCUGGAAAUGACAAAAAUAACAUUACUAGACUCACCUAUUGGUAUCGGAAAACCUUUCCUUUAUGAAUGGAAAUGUUUUCCCUUCAAUUGUCUCAACGAUUACACCCAUUACCCUGACAUGUGAAAAUCUAAAUUCCAUUUUUUGGGGUGUUUCCGAAACAAUAUUAAUGUUAUUACGUUAAUGUGUAUGAACUAUUAUUUUGUAAGCCUCCUAACUCUCCCUUGCCCUCUCCUCCGGAGCCCUGUGAAACAGACAGUAUUCUGUUUACAUCCACCAGGACAACACUGGGAUCUAAGAUAUAGCAAGCUAGAAAAUAGUUUUGUUCUUUACUUCGCUUGAUUUGAAAAGUUUUUUAAGACAGUUGACUGAAGUAAAGAAGCAGAGAUAGACAAAUAAUGCAGAUAUCUUACAUCAUCAGUCCCAGGUGUGGACUCCGCCUGGAACAACAACACAUUAUGUCAAACACAUAGCACACAUGUCUGAAGGUAUUUUCUGUAUUUGAAAAGUAAGUUAACUAACUUACCGGUUUCUUUGCUGUGGAUAAAAAGUAAGGAAUAUUUUGAAGUUAUUCAAAUAAUAGAGGAAUGCAUUGUCAUUGUUUCCCAUUAAGCAUCGAGAAAGCAUGUUGGCCAUACUAGUCUACUCCUUGAAAUUGUAAAUGCAAUGUCAAUGCAAUAUAUUCUCAACUUCAGGGUUGAGUUGUGAAACUACAUAACUGCAUAUUCAUUUAAAACCUCAGUGCACAUAAUACAGUAAAUGAAGUGAACAACUUCAACACUUACCUGGAUCACUCAUUUUCUCAGACAAGAAUUGGCACUGAAAUCACACUGUUGGACAAAAUAAUCAGUAUAUCAAAUUAAAAGCCGGUAUUUUCUUAUCCUUGUAAAUAUCAAAGUUACUUUCGUCAUAUAAACAAGAGUUGCAUAAGAACCCAUCCAUUUACACAAGCCUCACCUGGUACUGGAGGUUGAAGGACUGUACAUAAACUGUAUUUUCAGUCUGUAUUUAUAAGAGAGUGUCGAGUAUGUAAAAACCACACCCAGUCCUUUUAAUUACAGGUGGAAAGGUGUUUGUAGUUGGACAGAAAAAGCAGGGUGGAGAAAUGAGAUGAUAGGUGACCCAAAAU